GGUAGUAGCAAGUUUUCAAAUGAUAACUUUGAAGACUUAAGUGGAGAAAGGUUCUGUGUCAGCAGCAGAACCCAAUCUCUAGGCUAGACCUGAUCUAACUCCUCUUUUGGUAGAAGGUCAAGGGAAAGGAAAUCAGAUUAAUAUUCCAGAACUUGCAUAUGGAGUUUCACGAUAACGUAACCGAAUGAGAAGACGUCGGCCUGGGAUCGAAUAAGUAUAAACAUUGGUGAUACAUACCAUAAACAAGACUAGAAGGGGCGAUAUCAGAAUUUUAAAAUUUGGGAUGAACUCACUGGAAAAUAUUACUUCCAUGCCAAGUCGUACUGUAUCCGCAACAAGUAUACAAAACCAACGGCUUCUAUUU
This 364-nucleotide non-coding RNA is filed under the name Metschnikowia bicuspidata var. bicuspidata NRRL YB-4993. Its description in RNAcentral is "Eukaryotic large subunit ribosomal RNA". It matches the Rfam family "Eukaryotic large subunit ribosomal RNA", at positions 1456 to 1888 of the family's 3401-position model. Lineage: Eukaryota; Fungi; Ascomycota; Pichiomycetes; Serinales; Metschnikowiaceae. The record is from Rfam by way of RNAcentral.